GCAUGUCAUCUUAACAAGAGGCUUGAUUUGCUGUUAACUUUAGCCACAGUGACCCUCCCAGGGAUCUUCCUCCAUGAGAUUUUGACUGGAUGGAAUCGAUGGACUUAAACUAGUCAACUAAACUAGUUCAAUAAACUAGUUAUGAUCUCACAUCAGGUACAUUUUGUUGGUUUAUAGAGAGGAAGUACUUAAUACAGCAAUGGUGGAAAGUACAGUAAAAGUGCAUUUAUUCAGGAAGUAUUUACAUUUUAUGCUAGUUUGUACUUCUACUACUAUUUCAGAGAGAAAUGUUAAAUUUUCUACUCCACCACAUUUAUUUGACUGCUAUACUAGAUAUGUUGCUAAUUAACAUUUGAAAACAUGCAUGAUACAUGAUGCCUUGUUACUCAAACAACUCAAAAGUAAUGGUGAAUGGUAAAAUACUGUAUACACAUAAUAAUAUUUUCAUAAGUGGUACUUUUCAACACAAGUUCUACAGAGCCCCUGAAGGGCCGUGGUGUAAAUUUAUUUUCUACUACUACUUUUGCAUUCCCUCUGAUCUAUAGGAACAGUCAGUGCGUUGGUCCAGUCCAGUUAUAAUACACUGCCAGUUUAAGGAAACACCUUAUAAUGCAUAUAUUGCUCAUUACUUAUUUCAAAAGGCAGAGCUUUGACAGUUUAUUGCCACUCCUGCACAGCUGCAGAUGCUCUGCCUGGCAUGCUCAGGCUACGGCUGCACCUGAAGUUGUAUCUAUGAUGCCAUGGAUGUGGCUACAGCAAAGACAGUAGCUGUACUGUGACUACUCAGCCAAGAAAGCAUAGCUAAGCUGGAUUUGAACCUGUGGUACUUUUAUCAGGUAUGACAGAUGUGUUAAAACACCACAGGAGUUCAGGAGUACAGUGGCUUCAAUGCAAAGCUCAGCCAGCACAACCAUGUCAAUUCGCUGCACACACACAACCUCUGCAUGUAGUUCCACCCUUUAUAAACUAAUUUGCUACAGCCACCACCAUAACAACCAAUGGAUGUAUUGCUACUUUUAAUCAUGCAAAGGAUCUAAAACCUUCCUCCACCACUUGAAUGUAGUAAACAUGACCAUGAGAGUAAGUGCAGGAAAUAACUUGUGAAAUAUGAAUAUGUUUCAUUUAUUUGCUAAGGUUGGUGUUAAGCUAAGCUAUCUCAUCUAUCUAUCUUCUAUUUCAAAAUCAGCAAAAGUGUUGUCUUCAACCAAAAUCACAUUUCCUUAACAAACAAUUAUGUUUUUGUUUCCUUAUUUCUAAACUCGAGCCAAAAGGUGUAGAUCUCUCCCUUUUCCCCAUCAGUGCACACCUAUCCGUCCGACCUCUCCUGCUGGCAGACCUUAACAUUUACAAGCAGGUGUGGAUCUGUGAGAAACUUUGACUGAGUGCAGAUGGCAGGAAAUUCCAGUGAAAUGACAGUGGCUCGGUCCAAACCACAAGACAGUGUGAGCAGAGCCCCUGAAUCAGAUACAGCAGGGCCGGCAGCGGCAGCAGAAGCAGCAUCUAUGGACUCGACUAGGACUUACCGGCCUGCCAGCGUCUUGAAAUAGGAGCAGCUUCACAAGACGUCUGUUAAAACGCUUCUGAGAUGAACUGAGUCUGGUGUGGUGGGUACUGACUGACUCCAGUGUGUCUUUCCAAACAAAUGUUGGGUGGUAUUCGGUCUGAGAAACCUGUGAAAAUAGAUUAUGUCUUGCA
This is a long non-coding RNA of Micropterus dolomieu (smallmouth bass), 1695 nucleotides long. RefSeq lists it as uncharacterized. The transcript has 2 exons. The record is from RefSeq and is a predicted model, not a curated record. Lineage: Eukaryota; Metazoa; Chordata; Actinopteri; Centrarchiformes; Centrarchidae.